AAGGAUUUAAGUUAAACUAAACUAGUAACCUUCAAAGUUACCAAUAAAGACUUACUCCUUUAAGCCUUA
This 69-nucleotide transfer RNA is filed under the name Agrypnus binodulus. RNAcentral's name for it is "tRNA-Trp". The record is from RNAcentral. Lineage: Eukaryota; Metazoa; Arthropoda; Insecta; Coleoptera; Elateridae.